RNAcentral lists this ribosomal RNA (425 nucleotides) under uncultured bacterium. Its description in RNAcentral is "bacterial SSU rRNA". It matches the Rfam family "Bacterial small subunit ribosomal RNA", at positions 359 to 775 of the family's 1533-position model. The record is from RNAcentral.
GAAUAUUGCGCAAUGGGGGCAACCCUGACGCAGCGACGCCGCGUGAGUGAGGAAGGCCUUCGGGUCGUAAAGCUCUGUCAGCAGGGAAGAAGUGUGAGGGGGUUAACAGCCUUUUCAUUUGACGGUACCUGCAGAGGAAGAACCGGCUAACUCCGUGCCAGCAGCCGCGGUAAUACGGAGGGUGCGAGCGUUGUUCGGAAUUACUGGGCGUAAAGGGCGCGCAGGCGGCUUUAUAAGUCAGAUGUGAAAGUCCACGGCUUAACUGUGGAAGUGCAUUUGAAACUGUGAGGCUUGAGUACCAGAGGGGAAGGUGGAAUUCCCGGUGUAGAGGUGAAAUUCGUAGAUAUCGGGAGGAAUACCGGUGGCGAAGGCGACUUUCUGGCUGGAUACUGACGCUGAGGCGCGAAAGCGUGGGGAGCAAACAG